AUAUUGUCUAUCAAGUAUCAACACAAAUUAUUGUAUAGAAGUCUAAAUGUCAGAAAAUUAUCACCAGACUGUUUUAAACAGUAAAAAAACACUUAGCUAAUCCCAAUUAGAAGCAAUGAAACUCCUCUUAAUCACCGGGAGAUCAUAAUAUUUGGCGUAUGGCCUUAUAUCAUAUUGCCUUCUCACAACUAGAAAAAGUCAGAUCAUUCAAUUGAUAAAACCAGUACUCCAAAAAAGAUUUUGACCCAAAAAAACUGUUAUUAGAAAAAUUUGCACUCCUAGAAAUCCCAAAGCCUCUAAUACUAGUCGUUAGGUUAUAACCCUAGAAAUAUGAAAUUGGUAAACAAGAAAAACACAACCACAGAGCAGAAAAAUAAAAGGAACAUUAAGAAUGUUCACCCAGUUCAACAAACGACUAAUUUGAGAGGUUCAGAGACUAGUCCAAACACUAAGAACAACAGAAACCCUCCAAAGAGAAGUACAGAUCAUGAAAAACUCAAUCAGACCCAGAUUUAAUCAUUGAUCUGCAAGCAAAUCUCUUAAAUCGUAAACCCUAACGAAAAAAUAUAACCAAGAACCUCUUGCUCUUCCAUUGACUUAAAAAUAGCCACUACUACAGGCCUGAUUUACUGUAGCAACAUAAAGCACACAGGAUUCCAUGGUUAUUUUGGCUAGAACCUCAUAAGAAAUCACAUAUCGAAACCAAGAAUAUGAUUGAGAACUAGAUAGAGAAAAAUAAACUCAAACGAAAUGCCAGGAAUUAAAGUUAGCCUCAAACUAUUCUAAAC
This 788-nucleotide long non-coding RNA is filed under the name Olea europaea subsp. europaea. The record is from RNAcentral. Lineage: Eukaryota; Viridiplantae; Streptophyta; Magnoliopsida; Lamiales; Oleaceae.